UACCUAGUAGUACGGGGUUAUAGCAAUAUAGCCCCCGUCUGCACCCAUGUUUUUUGCGUACUACAUGUUUCCUCGGCUGGUUCUCCAGCCGAUAGGAUCUCUUAAACUCAUUGUAAUUGCAAUCAGCGUCUGAAAAAAUUAAUAUUUACAACUUUCAACAACGGAUCUCUUGGUUCUGGCAUCGAUGAAGAACGCAGCGAAAUGCGAUAAGUAGUGUGAAUUGCAGAAUUCAGUGAAUCAUCGAAUCUUUGAACGCACAUUGCGCCCCUUGGUAUUCCAUGGGGCAUGCCUGUUCGAGCGUCAUUUGUACCCUCAAGCUAUGCUUGGUGUUGGGUGUUUGUCCUAUCCAUUGCGACUGGACUCGCCUUAAAGAUAUUGGCAGCCGGCAUUUUGGCCUUGGAGCGCAGCACAAUUUGCGAGUCCAAGUCGGAAUACUGACGUCCAGAUAAGCUUUUUACCACGUUUGACCUCGGAUCAGGUAGGGAUA
Molecule: ribosomal RNA, 487 nt
Filed under: Shiraia sp. PE116
Lineage: Eukaryota; Fungi; Ascomycota; Dothideomycetes; Pleosporales; Shiraiaceae
Description: eukaryotic LSU rRNA
Rfam family: 5.8S ribosomal RNA (bases 150-303)
Source: RNAcentral